RNAcentral lists this ribosomal RNA (203 nucleotides) under uncultured bacterium. RNAcentral describes it as "partial 16S ribosomal RNA". It matches the Rfam family "Bacterial small subunit ribosomal RNA", at positions 1300 to 1500 of the family's 1533-position model. The record is from RNAcentral.
GUAGUCUGCAACUCGACUACAUGAAGCUGGAAUCGCUAGUAAUCGCGAAUCAGAAUGUCGCGGUGAAUACGUUCCCGGGUCUUGUACACACCGCCCGUCACACCAUGGGAGUCAGUAACGCCCGAAGUCAGUGACCCAACCAUAACCGGAGGGAGCUGCCGAAGGUGGGACCGAUAACUGGGGUGAAGUCGUAACAAGGUAGC